Molecule: unclassified non-coding RNA, 364 nt
Filed under: uncultured bacterium
Lineage: Bacteria
Description: contains 16S-23S intergenic spacer region
Source: RNAcentral
UCCCGGUUGGCCCGGGCAGUCUCGCAUGAAAAAUACAACAUACGAUAAGGGUUGCGCUCGUUGCGGGACUUAACCCAACAUCUCACGACACGAGCUGACGACGGCCAUGCAGCACCUGUCACUUGGCUCCCGAAGGCACCCCUCUGUUUCCAGUGGGUUCCAAGGAUGUCAAGCCUGGGUAAGGUUCUACGCGUAGCGUCAUAUUAAACCACAUCAUCCUCUGCUUGUGCGGGUCCCCGUCAAUUCCUUUGAGUUUUAGCCUUGCGGCCGUACUUCCCAGGCGGCAUACUUAUCGCGUUAGCUACGACGCACAGGGGGUCGAUACCCCAUACGUCUAGUCAUCAUCGUUUAGGGCGUGGACUAC